UACGUAGGGUGCAAGCGUUGUCCGGAAUUAUUGGGCGUAAAGAGCUCGUAGGCGGCUUGUCACGUCGACUGUGAAAUCUCCGGGCUUAACUCGGAAAGGUCAACUGAUACUGUGCGGCUAGAGUGCAGAAGGGGCAACUGGAAUUCUCGGUGUAGCGGUGAAAUGCGUAGAUAUCGAGAGGAACACCUGCGGCGAAGGCGGGUUGCUGGGCUGACACUGACGCUGAUGCGCGAAAGCCAGGGGAGCGAACGGG
RNAcentral lists this ribosomal RNA (253 nucleotides) under uncultured bacterium. Its description in RNAcentral is "partial 16S ribosomal RNA". It matches the Rfam family "Bacterial small subunit ribosomal RNA", at positions 524 to 776 of the family's 1533-position model. The record is from RNAcentral.